This is a long non-coding RNA of Patella vulgata (common limpet), 980 nucleotides long. RefSeq lists it as uncharacterized. The transcript has 2 exons. The record is from RefSeq and is a predicted model, not a curated record. NCBI's taxonomy places the organism in Eukaryota, Metazoa, Mollusca, Gastropoda, Patellidae.
CGCCUGACAAUUACUAGCAAUAAUUUCGUUAUAUUUCAUUCCCUGUCAACUCUCCAAUAACAUCAUUUAAAUCAGACGACCUCGGAUCUUUUCAGGCGCUAAUAAAAAAAUGUCGUUAGUGGCUGUCCGACUCCACAAAUGAUCAUAUUCUCAUUUAGGCCUAAUAUCUAACACUCGCGCUCUGAAUUUUUAGCAAGACCAGACGUGAGUUAACACGGCAGACGUACUAUUCUAGAUUCCGAUUCUAACUCAGGAAUUGACUUUAAGAUAAGAAGAAUGUUAAGAGGAAAUUGGAUGAACGCUGAAGAAUCUUGGGAAUAUUUUAGAUUGUUGAAUAUUUUAGGCACGCCGUGAUUAGCCUACUACCAUUAUGAUACAGUAGUAAUGGACGCCGGCAGAGAGAAGACAUUUUUCGUUCCGUGUUGACGACUAGACAGACUCCGUAUUUUUGAAUAAACCAUGCAGGAUUACAAGAUGAUGGUUCAGACCAGAGACAGCUGAAAUGAACAGCUGUAUACGACUAAAUCAGCCUUACAAACAAUAUUCUGUCGGGUUUUUCUGCUUCAAAUUCCGGGGCGGGAUUCGACCCGAUAGGGAACAAUGGACGACAAAGGGGGAUUUAGGGGCCAUUGAGAAAGGAACAUGUGUGUCGUUUAGUAACCAGGACGAGGGGGAGAAUUGAAUUGAUGGAAUGAAAAAUGUUUUGAAAGACCUAAAAUGGGACUGACAACAUCUUUUGUAGUUUGAAUGAAGGGAAAGCGAAUUUUUCCUAACAGCAAAUAAGCAUCUUUGGUCACAAAUAUUUUUUUUAGAUAUCUAAAUAUGCUUUUAAAAAAGCCCCAAAGUUUCCAUUAAAACAAACAUUGAGUUUUGUAAUUCCGUUUAUCGUUAUCAACUGCCGAUCUCGACGUAUUUUUGCUGUUAUUGUAUUGUAUUUUCAUUGGUUCUUUCCUGCUACUCAAAGAUUGCACGCAUAGAUA